This 460-nucleotide ribosomal RNA is filed under the name uncultured bacterium. RNAcentral's name for it is "partial 16S ribosomal RNA". It matches the Rfam family "Bacterial small subunit ribosomal RNA", at positions 338 to 795 of the family's 1533-position model. The record is from RNAcentral.
CCUACGGGAGGCAGCAGUGAGGAAUAUUGGUCAAUGGGCGCUAGCCUGAACCAGCCAAGUAGCGUGAAGGAUGACUGCCCUAUGGGUUGUAAACUUCUUUUAUAUGGGAAUAAAGUGCAGUAUGUAUACUGCUUUGCAUGUACCUUAUGAAUAAGGAUCGGCUAACUCCGUGCCAGCAGCCGCGGUAAUACGGAGGAUCCGAGCGUUAUCCGGAUUUAUUGGGUUUAAAGGGCGCGUAGGCGGUUUGUUAAGUCAGUUGUGAAAGUUUGCGGCUCAACCGUAAAAUUGCAGUUGAUACUGGCAGCCUUGAGUACAGUAGAGGUAGGCGGAAUUCGUGGUGUAGCGGUGAAAUGCUUAGAUAUCACGAAGAACUCCGAUUGCGAAGGCAGCCUGCUGGACUGUAACUGACGCUGAUGCUCGAAAGUGUGGGUAUCAAACAGGAUUAGAUACCCUUGUAGUC